CACGUAGUUAGCCGGUGCUUAUUCUUUGGGUACUCUCAUAAUCUCCAGCUCUUAACCAGAUACCUUUGCUCCCCAACAAAAGUCCUUUACAACCCGAAGGCCUUCUUCAGACACGCGGCAUGGCUGGAUCAGGGUUCCCCCCAUUGUCCAAAAUUCCCCACUGCUGCCUCCCGUAGGAGUCUGGGCCGUCUCUCAGUCCCAGUGUGGCGGAUCAUCCUCUCAGACCCGCUACUGAUCGUCGCCUUGGUAAGCCUUUACCUCACCAACUAGCUAAUCAGACAUUGGCCGCUCUUAUAUCGCCAGGUCAAACGAUCCCCAGCUUUCCCCCUCAGGGCGUAUGCGGUAUUAGCUAAGCUUUCGCUCAGUUAUCCCCCAAUACAAGGCACGUUCCAAUGCAUUACUCACCCGUUCGCCACUCGCCACCAAGUGCAAGCACUCGUGCUGCCGUUCGACUUGCAUGUGUAAAGCAUGCCGCAGCGUUCAUCUGAGCCA
This 492-nucleotide ribosomal RNA is filed under the name uncultured Neisseriaceae bacterium. Its description in RNAcentral is "partial 16S ribosomal RNA". The record is from RNAcentral. Lineage: Bacteria; Pseudomonadati; Pseudomonadota; Betaproteobacteria; Neisseriales; Neisseriaceae.